RNAcentral lists this ribosomal RNA (120 nucleotides) under Lepisosteus oculatus (spotted gar). The record is from RNAcentral. Lineage: Eukaryota; Metazoa; Chordata; Actinopteri; Semionotiformes; Lepisosteidae.
GCCAGCAGCCAUAUCACCCUGCAACUCACAACUGGCAGCCCACUGAAGCUCAGCAGGUGUGAGCCUGGUCAGUACCUGGAUGGAAAGACCUCCUGGGAAAAAUCAAGGUUGCUGCUGGAA